RNAcentral lists this long non-coding RNA (1732 nucleotides) under Rattus norvegicus (Norway rat). Its description in RNAcentral is "long non-coding RNA NONRATT005376". The record is from RNAcentral. Lineage: Eukaryota; Metazoa; Chordata; Mammalia; Rodentia; Muridae.
CCGUGCUCAGAAUCUGUGUGAUGCCCAUGGCCCUAGUUACCAUCUAAGGUCUUGCACUUGUCCAUGUCUGUGAUGCUUUCUGAAGCUGUGCUGAUGUGAGUAGCUGCCACCUGUGGCCAUACUGAUGUCUGUGGUCUGGACAGCCUCUGAAGGACUUGUCCAUCUCCAUGAGCUACAGCACAGGGAGCUGUGUUUGUGGUCUGUGCUGUUGCCAGCUGCCAGAGUGUGACAGACAUUUAAAGAGAGCAUGCAUGCCAAGAGGAGCCCAUGAUCUUUCAAACAAGAAGCAGGUUCUGCUGGGAGAAACUAGCAAGAGUUCCCUUAAUAUUUUACAAGAACAUCAGUCUAGGCUUCAAGACACACCAAGAGACAGUUGAGGGCUCAUACAUAGACAAGAAAUGUUCCUUCAUUGUCAAUGUCUCUAUCAGAGGUCAGAUCUUUUCUGGUAUCAUGACUAAGAUGAAGAUACAGAGGACCAUAGCCAUCCACUACAUCCAAAAGUGAGACCUUCUCAUGAAAGGGUCAUUUGACCCCCCAGAGGAGUCGUGACCCACCAGUUGAGAACCACUGUUCUAAGAAGCCUAUUAAACUCUUGCUGUCACUUGGUUCUGGGUCCUCCACACAAGAGUGAAACAGAACCAGACAGUGAUAAAUGAGUACUAGAAGCCGAAGAUCAUGAUUUCGCACAAACAACCACUUAACAAGCCCAGCUGGCAACUGCAACUGAAAUCAAUAAGAAGCUAUUGGGCAAAGUGUGAAGGGAAAACAAAAAGAAAGAAAGAAAUGGAAGGCUACAUCCAAGCUGAGUUUCUACCAAACUGGAGGGGGUUCUAGUAUCACUAAUCAGAAACCUAAGUACAUCCCUCUGUCUUUACAAAGGAGGGAGAUUGCAGAUACCCUUUGUGGAAACUUAAACUGAACUCAGCAAGUUCUGAAAUUGAACUCCCAGCAAGCAAGCAGCUAGCAGCACUAAGGAUAGAGAAUGAACCAUGUUACAAGCAAGAUUGUGGAAACCGAGAGCAAUCCAAACCAGAACACCGGACUUCCUGAUUAGACUCUAUUGAUUGCAACUGAAAUAUUACCAUGUGAACCAACACUCAGAUUGUAUGUUUCUAGGAAUCCUAAUGCUGUUGAUCACGAAAUCAUUAAUUACCAAAGUGAAAUACAGAAAUUAAUCAGAAAAAUCUUAUAUUCCCAGCAUGAAAAACACUGAGAACUGGCUAAGGAAGUUUUACUGACUGGUAUCGCUGGUACAACUGCUUAGGCACUGAGACCAACACACCCGCAUAACAGACAAAAAGUGAUUUAAGCUGGGAAUUCAGGCAGUCAUAGGAACUCAGCUUCAAUCCAAGGAAACAGAAAUUGCCUGUGCAUGCGAAAAGUAUAAAUCCAUUAUCAAAGCAUCAUUUCUACAGCCACUAAUAUUAAUUUUUGGAGAUAACACAUUUUAAUUUUUGAGUUUAAGAUCAAACUGCCUUGUAAAUUUUAAAAGGUGGCAAAUGCCAUUUUGAAUUGUUUAUCAGGAAAACCAAAAUACAUCUUUAGUAAAUUCAUUCUCAACAUAACAUAUGUGCCUCUUAAACAUGUAAAAUAUCUUUCUAAAAACUCUUGCUGUCACAGUGCUGCUAGUGUGAGUAUAGUAACCUUCCAAUCUGUUUUCUUAAAAUAGUUUUUAAGUAGCAAUAAUUUUUCCUAUUUUCUAGAGUUUAAUAAAGAAAUUAUUUGGUUUUGG